GCCAGUUUGGCUCAGUAGGUAGAGCAUCAGCCUGCAGACUGAAGAGUUCCGGGUUCGACUCCGGCCAAGGGCA
This 73-nucleotide transfer RNA is filed under the name Myotis lucifugus (little brown bat). It matches the Rfam family "tRNA". Rfam says of the family: Transfer RNA (tRNA) molecules are approximately 80 nucleotides in length. Their secondary structure includes four short double-helical elements and three loops (D, anti-codon, and T loops). Lineage: Eukaryota; Metazoa; Chordata; Mammalia; Chiroptera; Vespertilionidae. The record is from Rfam by way of RNAcentral.